Molecule: non-coding RNA, 1545 nt
Organism: Xyrichtys novacula (pearly razorfish)
Lineage: Eukaryota; Metazoa; Chordata; Actinopteri; Labriformes; Labridae
Source: the annotation of a GenBank genome assembly
CAGGUUUUGCACAAGCAUGAGAGUCCAAACUGAGGGUGCUAGUUGUUCUGCCAGCACCCCAGAGGCCAAUGCUACGGAGCAGUUAGCCGCCAGCAGAGAGCCAGGAAAAUCCACGCCACGCUGCCAGUAAGUAGGAGUCUGUGCAUUUCUUCUUCUCCAUUUAACCGGGUAAAAGAGAGAGAUGUGCUCCAGCCACUGUCCUGCAUUGAUGCAGGAGCAUUCAGGCUAAAAAAAAAAGAGGGCUAUUUUUUCUCCUCUUCUCAGUAUGCUGACAAUAAAGAGCGUGAUGUAUUAUCUAGUGGCACCUGGGCUCUGGUGUAUGUCCACUGUCAUUGCCGUUGGGCUCAAAAGAAGCAGUGGGAGCUGAGGUGUUUCAUGCUCAUGAGUAAUGUAGCAUUUGUUGAACCACCUCAGGUCCUCACUGGAGUGAAUAAGGUGUGUCCUGAAUCCUGUAAGUAAUCCCAAAUGCUAAAAUUGAUGUAAUGGGGCUUAAAGUGCAGGAGCAGAAAAACGAGAAACCAACUCCAAGAGAAACCGACAGCCAGAUUUUAUCUUUCACCUUUCACCCAGCGAAGUAAUUAAAUAAGCCACUCAUCCCUUAAGACAGACACAGGUUUCUCCUUUGUGGCUAAUUACUGUGUGGAUUUACAAGUCAAGAUGGCAAAUGAAAAAAAAAAGGAAUUGAAUAAGCCUCACACCUCCUUUUCUGCCUGUUUCCUGGAAAGACAGGAAAAAUUGAAGGUGGAAAUAAUGACUCUGUCACACAAUCAUGACGCAUUAUGAAAUUUUCAUGACAAUGAAAAUUGGUGUCAAGAGACCAAAUUAACCGAAAAAUGCCUCUGUCUGUCACCCAACGUGGAGUUGGCUGCACAAGAAGGUGCAUGAGACUUCCCCAGCUGUCUGAUUCAGGGGCAGGGUAGUUACAGGUAUUUUAAUUCUUCAUCUGCUGCUCUUCAAAAAGAGAUAAUGUGCAUCUUACUCCCUCAAUAGUCUGCUUCGUAUUUACAUGUCCAUUUGAUAAAGUCCUAAUUUUAUUCUCUUUUUUUUUCACAACAGGCCUGACAUGCUUGUUAUAUGUUUUGUCUAAGCUACAGUACUGCCACCAGCUGGACUGAGAGCCCAUAUCAUAAUGCCAGGAUAUACCAGGAUGUAAACAAGCACAGAUAGAAGCAUCUCGUUGCACAGCAUGGUUCAGCAGUAUUUUAAUAAACAAUACUGAGAUAUAGUUUUAAGUCAGCAGUGUUUGACUGAACUAUAGCGUAUGGAGGAGUGGGGGCUGGUGGUGAAUUUCAGUUUCAACAGCUGGGGAAAUUCAUCACUUGACACACACAUAUGUAUAUAUACUGUAUUUGCAAGUCUACUCAUUCACUUUUUCAUUAUUUACAUGAGUGCAUCUGCCUGUGAUGUGAAUUAAAUGUAUUUUGUGUCUCUGCAGGUUUACUAAUGUGCAUCUCGUCUAUGAAAAGGACCCACUGUGCAGCACCUGGCCUGAGCGUCUGUCUAAUCAUGUAUCCUAUUGAACGGGGAGGAGAUGUGCUGCAGCAC